UCGGGUUGUAAAGCACUUUUGUCCGGAAAGAAAACCGCUGGGUUAAUACCCUGGCGGGAUGACGGUACCGGAAGAAUAAGCACCGGCUAACUACGUGCCAGCAGCGCGGUAAUCGUAGGGUGCGAGCGUUAAUCGGAAUUACUGGGCGUAAAGCGUGCGCAGGCGGUUCGUUAAGACAGAUGUGAAAUCCCCGGGCUUAACCUGGGAACUGCAUUUGUGACUGGCGGGCUAGAGUAUGGCAGAGGGAGGUAGAAUUCCACGUGUAGCAGUGAAAUGCGUAGAGAUGUGGAGGAAUACCGAUGGCGAAGGCAGCCUCCUGGACCAAUACUGACGCUCAUGCACGAAAGCGUGGGGAGCAAACAGGAUUAGAUACCCUGGUAGUCCACGCCCUAAACGAUGUCAACUAGUUGUUGGGGAUUCAUUUCCUUAGUAACGUAGCUAACGCGUGAAGUUGACCGCCUGGGGAGUACGGUCGCAAGAUUAAAACUCAAAGGAAUUGACGGGGACCCGCACAAGCGGUGGAUGAUGUGGAUUAAUUCGAUGCAACGCGAAAAACCUUACCUACCCUUGACAUGGUCGGAACCCUGCUG
This 590-nucleotide ribosomal RNA is filed under the name uncultured Burkholderia sp. RNAcentral describes it as "bacterial SSU rRNA". It matches the Rfam family "Bacterial small subunit ribosomal RNA", at positions 418 to 1003 of the family's 1533-position model. Lineage: Bacteria; Pseudomonadati; Pseudomonadota; Betaproteobacteria; Burkholderiales; Burkholderiaceae. The record is from RNAcentral.